UUAUCAUCAGUUUCUUCCCCAAAGCCUCAUGAAGGCAGUUAUUUCUUACUGACUUAUCCACUACAAAAAUCUCAGCUCUAAGAGGAGUUCCUGAUAAAUUGCAGGCCUUUAGUAAAUCUUUGUUCAUUGAAUGGAUGAAUAACUUACAUUUGCCAAACUACAUUGGUUUAUCUUGUAACAAGUAGAAGUAGACAAAUGUUUUUAAGCAGGAUUCACAUUGAGACAACUAUCUUGGGAGACAGGAAGUUGCUGUGAUAACAGUGUUCAGGUUGGAUUGGAAGAAAUUUGGAGAUAAGAGGCUUUUCAAGAAAAAACUGAAGGUCCAACAAUAGCAGUGAUGGUGGAAAAGCUUGAGUGUGUGUGUGUGUGUGUGUGUGUGUGUAUGUGUGUGUGUAGGAGUUGUUGGUUAUGAGUGACACUUGGAUUAAGAACACGUGGUAGCUGGUGAUAUCAGGAGUAAAGGAUAUUGGAGAGGAGGUUGAGAAAAAUGAAAGUGUGACUUAAUUCUACAUUUCUUUGAGAGAAUGUGGUAAAAUAACACUUAUCAUAGUGGAGAAAAAUCUAAGACAUAAAAAGAAAGAUGAAUUUAUUUUGCUUUAAGGUUUUUUUAAAAAAAUUAUGGAAUGUGUAUCACAUAAAAUUUACCAUUUUAACUAUUUUUAAAUGUGCAGUUCAGCAGCAUUAAAUUCAUUUAUGUUGUCAUGCAAUGAUCACCACUAUUUAUCUUUAGAACAUUUUAUCUUCCCAUAAUGAAACACUAUACCAAGUCAACAAUAACUCCUUGCCCCCCUCACCCCCAGUUCCUGGCAACUUCCAUUCUACUUUCUGUCUCUGUGACUUUGGCUAUUCUAGGUGUCUUGUAUAAAUGGUAGCAUUACAGUAUUUGACCUUUUCUGAUUGUAGUUUUUCACUUAUCAUAGUAACUUUGAGGUUCAUCCAUGGUGUAGCAUAUGUCAGAACUUCACCCCUUUUUUUAAAGUGACUAUUCCAUUGUGUUUAUGUAUUGGUCCCUUGAUGAACAUUGGGUUGCUUUAGCCUUUUGGCUCUUAUGGAUUGUGCUUCUAUGAAUAUUGUUGUAUGAAUAUCUUUAAAUCUGCUUUGACUUCUUUGGGUUACUCACCCAGGACUGGAAUUGGUGAAUCAUAUGGUAAUUCCAUGUUUACUAUUUUGAAGAACCACCAUACUGACUUUCAUUUCAGGUGAACUGUGUUUGAGUUGGUGGAGAGUGUCAGAAGGUAGGACUGGACCUUGGCUGAAGGUACUUCUAGGCAGAGAUUCCAGUUGAAGGAACCUCCCAGAUGUGAUGAAAAAGGGGAGGUGGUGAAUUAGUUUGAGGAGGGACAAAGGAAGGUAUUGAGUGAAGGACCAAGUCAAGUCAUAGGAAAGAGAAGCAGUGAAGGGAGCCAGUCAAUGAGACAGAAAAGGAGCAAUCAGAAUUAAGAACAGAACCAAGAGUGCUGAUAUACACUUAACUCAAACUCAUCCAUAUUCAUUGAGUACUCUGUCAAGAACUUCUUUUCAGAAGAAUAAGCUUCUAUUUAAGGAUGUCAUUACUUUCAAGGGUUCAGGUCCAGUAGGUCACAGAUCACUACUGUGUGUUGAAUUUCUGAGGCAUAGAUACUUUUCAAAAAAGUCCUAGAAAUACUAAAAAAAGCAGAGAAUCUCUUAUUCUUUUGUUGGCUGUUCUCCGUUUCCUCUUUUGCAUUAAUAAUUUUACAGUUACUUUUUUCCCCCAAUGAUUUAUGGAAUUAUGACACACUUUAGGAAAAGUGAGCAAGCCAACAUGGAUAACUCUGUGACUUCUCAGAGAGUGCCAUGUAGCUAGGUAAUCAACACCCAGAUCAAGAAACACAGCACUGACCUUACCCAAGUGGUUCCCUGCAUGCCUCAUUUAUACAGUAUCAACAUUGUUCGAAUUUCUGGCACCAUAGCAUAUUUUUUUCUGUUUUGAAUCUAUGUAAGUGGAAUCAUGCAGCAUGUACUAUCUGGGCCUGACUUCUUUCACUUAAUGUUUCUGAAAUUAAUCGACGUUUCUGGGAAUGCUUUUAUACAAGUUAUUUAUUUUCACGUCAUAUUCAUAUGCAAGUAUCCAGACUUUUGGGUAACUUCCAGUUUGAGGCUAUUAUAAAUAAUAGUAUAUGAACAUCAUUACAGUUUCUUAUUGAAAUAGGAAUUUGGUAUUAUGUUUUACCUAUUUAAAUUGCCAUUGCUUCAAUAAUUCAAGUGUCUUUUCUACCCAGUGCUUUCCCCCCUUACCUAAUUAUCUUUAUUGUUAAUACAAGUUGUAUUUUCCUUAAUAUUAGUUUUGAAAGUACAAAGUACCAUAGGGAAUUGAGGUUCUUUAAAAAAUCUGUAUUUACUUUCAUUAACAUUUUCUUUUUAAAGGAUCUAUUUUAAUUUUUUUUCUCAUCUACCCAGAUUAUGCCUCUUAAAUGUGUGUUGAAUCUGUCAAAAUUCUUCAUCCCUUAAUGAGGUGAAUUGUUCAACCCUGAAACAAAUAUUUUAAUUUUGGCACCAUGAUGAGUUGGAGGAAGAAUAGCUCUUGUUCUUAAUGCAGA
RNAcentral lists this long non-coding RNA (2558 nucleotides) under Marmota monax (woodchuck). Lineage: Eukaryota; Metazoa; Chordata; Mammalia; Rodentia; Sciuridae. The record is from RNAcentral.